This 1368-nucleotide long non-coding RNA is filed under the name Heterocephalus glaber (naked mole-rat). RNAcentral's name for it is "lncRNA (ENSHGLG00000050448.1)". Lineage: Eukaryota; Metazoa; Chordata; Mammalia; Rodentia; Bathyergidae. The record is from RNAcentral.
UGAAAAUCCUAUGGCUUGGGAAUUUCCUCAAUCACAGGAAAACUUGAAUAAUUGGCUAACCUAAGUAUAGUUUCUGUUUGUAUUUCAGGUAAUAGAAAUUGACUGUAAAACUCAGAGAUCCCGUUGGUUAAACAGCGGAAUGUCAGGGACCCAGGCCUGUGUCUCCAUCAUGUCACCCUUAGAGUAGGAUUGCUAGAGAAAGUACAGGAUGCCCAGAUGAAUUUCAAGUCAGACACAGGAUGAAUCAUCCUUUAGUACUGGUGAGCCCCCGCUCAGCUGCACCUCACCAGGGGCACAGCUGCACUGGAAAGUGAUGUGUUUGUGUGAAAUUCACAUUUAACUGGGUGUCCUCUUUUUCUCUGUAAGUCUCACAACCUCCUGGUCACAAAGCAGAGGAUUCUUUAGCAGAAAGAACAAGGCCGCCAGUGUGGGAGUCUGACUUCCACAGUACCCCCUUUAUUUCUAGGAUUGGGGGGACCCUCCCACAUCACAACUGGCUCCUGAAGGGAGGUGUACAAGUCAGCACAUCCCACCCACACAGCAAACCUUCCAUUGCCUCAUUCUUAAAUAGGAGUGGAGAAACACACAUUUGAUGAAAGUUUGCGUUAAAGAGAAAUAGAAAAAGUGAUACUGGAGAAAGUAUAAAGUAGCUAAUGCAGGGAAGAGAAUAUAAUUUUUCUUCCUUUUAAUUUGUAGUCCUGGGGAUUGAACCCAGGGCCUUGUACAUGCUAGGCAAGCGCUGUGACACCAAGGUGCAUGGCCAGCCCCGGAAGAGAGCUAAGAAUGAACAUGAAAGGCCAGGCAGUUCAAGCCCAGCCUGGGAAACUUACCGACUAGAGAGACCUUGUCUCAAAACAAAAAAUAAAAAGACUGGGGGCAUAGCUUGAGUAUGAAGCUCCUGGGAUCAGUCCCCAGUGCUAGAAAAAAGUAAUAAGAAAAUUUUAAAAAUAAAAUAAAAUAAUACAGAUAAAGAAACUGGGGAUAUACUCAGCUUAAAUGAGACCAGUGUUCCUCAGCACUACAAUAGAUGAUAGGAUCCAUCGGAGCAAGGCGUAGUGGUGCAUGCCUGCAAUCCCAGCACUUGAGAGAGAGGCUGUGGCAGGAGGAUCACUGUGAGUUUGAGGUCAGCCUGGGCUACAUAGUGAGUUCAAGGCCAGCCUGGACUAUAAAGUGAGACCCUGUCUUAAAAAAAGACCCAUCGGGAGGUAUCUGACAUGAUUCCAUAGGGUGGAAUUGGAGGACUGGGCUAGCAGAACUGCACAGUACCUUGCAAAUGACUCCUAAAUUUGAGAACUGUCUGAAUCCUAGCAUUACCGUUCAUUAGCUGUGUGACAUCAGGAAGCUACUAAACUCUCUCUUCUUUAGUUU